RNAcentral lists this ribosomal RNA (465 nucleotides) under uncultured bacterium. RNAcentral's name for it is "partial 16S ribosomal RNA". It matches the Rfam family "Bacterial small subunit ribosomal RNA", at positions 28 to 507 of the family's 1533-position model. The record is from RNAcentral.
GACGAACGCUGGCGGCGUGCUUAACACAUGCAAGUCGAACGGAAAGGCCCUGCUUGCAGGGUACUCGAGUGGCGAACGGGUGAGUAACACGUGGGUGAUCUGCCCUGCACUUCGGGAUAAGCCUGGGAAACUGGGUCUAAUACCGGAUAGGAGCCAUUUUUAGUGUGAUGGUUGGAAAGUUUUUUCGGUGUAGGAUGAGCUCGCGGCCUAUCAGCUUGUUGGUGGGGUAAUGGCCUACCAAGGCGGCGACGGGUAGCCGGCCUGAGAGGGUGGACGGCCACAUUGGGACUGAGAUACGGCCCAGACUCCUACGGGAGGCAGCAGCGGGGAAUAUUGCACAAUGGGCGCAAGCCUGAUGCAGCGACGCCGCGUGGGGGAGGACGGCCUUCGGGUUGGAAACUCCUUUCGCUAGGGACGAAGCUUUUUGUGACGGUACCUAGAUAAGAAGCACCGGCUAACUACGUG